RNAcentral lists this long non-coding RNA (1156 nucleotides) under Amphibalanus amphitrite. RNAcentral describes it as "uncharacterized LOC122369038". Lineage: Eukaryota; Metazoa; Arthropoda; Thecostraca; Balanomorpha; Balanidae. The record is from RNAcentral.
UGCAUAAUUCGCUAAAAAGUAUUUCAAACUAUUUAACAUAUUGGUACUAUGUUUAUACUCUCUACCGCAGCUACUGUAUGAUGUCAUAGCAAUGACGUCACACUCAAGCCAAUCAGCCUUGAGGAGGAUAGACUCGUCGGACUGUAGCGGUUGUAAACAACUUGUCGCCCCGUGUGUCUGCCCGUGGCGCUAGUUAUCUGUCGAAGUUACCACUGACAAUGCCCAAAACAAGAACAACAAAGGCCCAAAGGUGGCUGUUUGGUAGUGCGCAAAGCUGCUGGUGGUGGUGGACGUCUCUGCCCUGACGCGCGGCGUGCGUCUGCUCAGUGUGGAGGUGCCGCUGACAGCGGUGCCGGCCGGACCGGCUGCCUCUCCGGCGGCCGACAUUGAGCGCGGCACGUGUCCGCCGCCGUUCGGGCCGCUGCAGCUGCUGCAGUCGGCGGCGCAGCUGUCCGUCUCCGUGUCGCUGGCCGUGCCGCUGGACCUGCUGCCGCGGCCGGCGCCGGCGCGCUGCGCCUACGGCCGCCUGCUGGCCGUCGUUUCGCAGCGCGGCCUGCAGCGCAGCGGCGUGCUGCAGCUCAUCCAGCAGCUCAACGAGCCGCCCAGCCCGGCGGCGGCCGAGGGCGCCGCGCCGCGCCGGCCCGGCGACGUCAGCACACCUGGCAUCAGCGGCUUCUGCCUGGCCGACCGUCAGCUGCACCUGCUGUUCGCCGAGGGGCGCGCCGACGCCGAGCUGGAACAGACGGCGGCCGCGCCGCGCGCUCUGCCGCGCCGCGACGCUCGACUCUGCCACCACUCGGGCCUACUGAGUGUUUAGGGAGCGCCUGUACCCGCGCCAGCCGGCCGCGUUCCGCGUGCUCGAGGACCGCCCGCUACGCGCCCAGCUGCUCGACACCCGCCUCUACACGUUACAGAAACAGGAGCCGGCGCGCGCCGUCCGCGCCAUCAGAGAGUGCUUCCGCACGCAGUGGCUGUCGGAAAAUGAACCUGCUUCCCAACGAGGCCGGCCUGCAACAACUGCUGGCCGGCUGUUGGCCGAAAAAAAAAACGCCUUCAACCGGAUGUCAGUUGUCAAAUCAACGCGUAUUAAUGCAUUCACUAGGAUGGGCUUACGUAAAGCUGUAGAAUUGCAAAUAUAUAAUGGCACUGUUUUUGA